RNAcentral lists this ribosomal RNA (910 nucleotides) under Arthroderma cuniculi. RNAcentral describes it as "LSU rRNA". It matches the Rfam family "Eukaryotic large subunit ribosomal RNA", at positions 38 to 964 of the family's 3401-position model. Lineage: Eukaryota; Fungi; Ascomycota; Eurotiomycetes; Onygenales; Arthrodermataceae. The record is from RNAcentral.
GCAUAUCAAUAAGCGGAGGAAAAGAAACCAACAGGGAUUGCCCCAGUUAACGGCGAAGUGAAGCGGCAAAAGCUCAAAUUUGAAAUCUGGCUCCUUAGGGGUCCGAGUUGUAAUUUGUAGAGGAUGCUUCGGGUGCGGCCACGGCCUAAGUUCCUUGGAACAGGACGUCAUAGAGGGUGAGAAUCCCGUCUUGGGUCGUUGGUCCACGCCCGUGUGAAGCUCCUUCGACGAGUCGAGUUGUUUGGGAAUGCAGCUCUAAGCGGGUGGUAAAUUUCAUCUAAAGCUAAAUAUUGGCCGGAGACCGAUAGCGCACAAGUAGAGUGAUCGAAAGGUUAAAAGCACCUUGAAAAGGGAGUUAAACAGCACGUGAAAUUGUUGAAAGGGAAGCGCUUGCGGCCAGACUCGGGCGCGGGGUUCAGCGGGUGCGUGUCACCCGUGUACUCCCCGCCGCCCGGGCCAGCAUCAGUUCUGACGGCCGGUCAAAGGCCCCCGGAAUGUGUCGUCUCUCGGGACGUCUUAUAGCCGGGGGUGCAAUGCGGCCCGUCGGGACUGAGGAACGCGCUUCGGCUCGGAUGCUGGCGUAAUGGCCGUAAGCGGCCCGUCUUGAAACACGGACCAAGGAGUCUAACAUCCACGCGAGUGUUCGGGUGUCAAACCCGUGCGCGCAGUGAAAGCGAACGGAGGUGGGAGCCUUAGGGCGCACCAUCGACCGAUCCUGAAGUCUUCGGAUGGAUUUGAGUAGGAGCGUGGCCGUUGGGACCCGAAAGAUGGUGAACUAUGCCUGAAUAGGGUGAAGCCAGAGGAAACUCUGGUGGAGGCUCGCAGCGGUUCUGACGUGCAAAUCGAUCGUCAAAUUUGGGCAUAGGGGGCGAAAGACUAAUCGAACCAUCUAGUAGCUGGUUCCUGCCGA